Non-coding RNA from Pan troglodytes (chimpanzee), 46 nucleotides. The record is from Rfam. NCBI's taxonomy places the organism in Eukaryota, Metazoa, Chordata, Mammalia, Primates, Hominidae.
ACAAAGGUUUUUUUAAGAACUACUAUUUAUUAGUUGAAAGCUCUAU